AAGCCAUGCGAGUCGAGAGGGUUUAGACCCUCGGCACACUGCUCAGUAACAUGCGGAAAAUCUACCCUUAGGUGGAGGAUAAUCUCGGGAAACUGAGAACAAUACUCCAUAGGUCUGGUUUGCUGGAACGCUUCCAGACCAAAAGCUCCGGCGCCUAAGGAUGAUUCUGUAGCCUAUCAGGUUGUAGUGGGUGUAAAGUACCCCCUAGCCGUCGACGGGUACGGGCGUUGAGAGACGUAGCCCGGAGAUGGACUCUGAGACACGAGUCCAGGUCCUACGGGGCGCAGCAGGCGCGAAAACUUCGCAAUGCGCGAAAGCGCGACGAGGGGAUUCCAAGUGCCUAUGCUUAGCAUAGGCUGUUCAUUUGCCUAAAAAGCAUUUGAAGUAAGGGCUGGGUAAGACGGGUGCCAGCCGCCGCGGUAAUACCCGCAGCCCAAGUGGUGAUCGUUAUUAUUGAGCCUAAAGCGUCCGUAGCCUGUCUACUAAAUCCUUGGGUAAAUCGGGCAGCUCAACUGUCCGAAUUCCAAGGAGACUGGUAGACUUGGGACCGGGAGAGGUCAGAGGUACUCUGGGGGUAGGGGUGAAAUCCUGUAAUCCUUAGAGGACCACCAGUGG
RNAcentral lists this ribosomal RNA (615 nucleotides) under uncultured euryarchaeote. RNAcentral's name for it is "bacterial SSU rRNA". It matches the Rfam family "Archaeal small subunit ribosomal RNA", at positions 46 to 666 of the family's 1478-position model. Lineage: Archaea; Methanobacteriati; Methanobacteriota. The record is from RNAcentral.